Molecule: small nucleolar RNA, 113 nt
Organism: Macadamia integrifolia
Lineage: Eukaryota; Viridiplantae; Streptophyta; Magnoliopsida; Proteales; Proteaceae
Product: small nucleolar RNA snoR100
Exons: 1
Source: RefSeq, a predicted model, not a curated record
CCAUAAAGGCGCAUGGUACUGUGCACAGAGACGGCACAAACAGGGUCCUCAUGUCUGCUCGUUUUGAUGUCCUCGUGGCCAUGAUUUUGAGGGUCUGUAUCCGACCUUCAUUG